RNAcentral lists this ribosomal RNA (444 nucleotides) under uncultured soil bacterium. RNAcentral's name for it is "bacterial SSU rRNA". It matches the Rfam family "Bacterial small subunit ribosomal RNA", at positions 26 to 505 of the family's 1533-position model. The record is from RNAcentral.
AGAGCGGACGCUGGCGGCAGGCCUAAUACAUGCAAGUCGAGCGGCCACUUCGGUGGCAGCGGCGGACGGGUGAGUAACGCGUGGGAAUGUGCCCUUUGGUACGGAACAACUGAGGGAAACUUCAGCUAAUACCGCAUGUGCCCUUCGGGGGAAAGAUUUAUUGCCAUUGGAGCAGCCCGCGUUGGAUUAGCUAGUUGGUGGGGUAAAGGCCCACCAAGGCGACGAUCCAUAGCUGGUCUGAGAGGAUGAUCAGCCACACUGGGACUGAGACACGGCCCAGACUCCUACGGGAGGCAGCAGUAGGGAAUCUGCGCAAUGGGACGAAGCCUGGACGCAGCCAUCGCCGCGUAGAAUGAUGAGUCUUAGGAUUAGGUAAAUUCGUUUACGAACCGGGUAAUAUAAGUGAACCGGUUACCGGAGAACGAACGCCCGGUACUAACUUCG